AGUACAGUGGCGGACGGGUGAGUAACGCGUAGGAAUAUGCCCAGUAGUGGGGGACAACUCGGGGAAACUCGAGCUAAUACCGCAUACCCUCUCUUCAUUAGAAGGGAGGAAAGUGGGGGAUCUUCGGACCUCACGCUACUGGAGUAGCCUGCGUUGGAUUAGCUUGUUGGUGAGGUAAAAGCUCACCAAGGCGACGAUCUAUAGCUGGUCUGAGAGGACGAUCAGCCACACUGGAACUGAGACACGGUCCAGACUCCUACGGGAGGCAGCAGUAGGGAAUAUUGGGCAAUGGGCGCAAGCCUGACCCAGCGAUGCCGCGUGUGUGAAGAAGGCCUUCGGGUUGUAAAGCACUUUCAGCAGCGAAGAAAAGCUUAGGGCUAAUACCCCUGAGUCUUGACGUUAACUGCAGAAGAAGCACCGGCUAACUCCGUGCCAGCAGCCGCGGUAAUACGGAGGGUGCGAACGUUAAUCGGAAUUACUGGGCGUAAAGCGCGCGUAGGCGG
RNAcentral lists this ribosomal RNA (503 nucleotides) under uncultured bacterium. Its description in RNAcentral is "bacterial SSU rRNA". It matches the Rfam family "Bacterial small subunit ribosomal RNA", at positions 89 to 578 of the family's 1533-position model. The record is from RNAcentral.